RNAcentral lists this long non-coding RNA (3350 nucleotides) under Nicotiana benthamiana. RNAcentral describes it as "long non-coding RNA (NBEN_LNC026158)". The record is from RNAcentral. Lineage: Eukaryota; Viridiplantae; Streptophyta; Magnoliopsida; Solanales; Solanaceae.
AUUUUCUUUAAUUCGGUAUUUGAACAUAUUUGAAUUUUUUUUUCGUGUAUAUAGGUAAAGCUGCUCCAGGUCCUGGUUCUGAAACCUUGCCACCGCCAGGUAACUAAGAAUUAAUUAUUUUUUUAUAAUAUUUGUUUUAACAAAUAUUCAUUAAUUUAUGGUCCCAAACAAGGUUUAUACUGCAAUUUAAAACUAGAAUUAUAAUCUGGAUAGUUAAUCCUAUAUAGUAUAUGGAAUAAGUUAUAUCAGAUUUCUGAUAUAAAAAUAAUAUUUUCUCUAUCCUAGUUGUGUUGUUAUAUUUUCAUUUUUAUUCUGUCUCAAAAGAAUAUCUAUACUUCCUUAUUUAAAAAUAAUUCAAUUUUAAACUUUUUUUAAUGAAAUAAUCUAUAGUCACACAAUAUUUGUAGCUUAUUUUGGAGUACAAAUUUGAUAAAAAAUAUCUUAAAUUUUGUGUCAGAGCAAAUACCGUUUAUGUAAAUUGAAACAGAGAAAGUAUUGAUAUUAGUUAAUACCUUUAGGAAAAAAAAGGAUAAAUUUUUUCAACAAAGUUAUGAGCCCGUUUGGGUUAGCUGAUAAGUAUUAGGUGCUGAAAAGUAUUUUUAAGUGUUAAAGCGGAUUAAAAAAAUAAGCAGUCAUGUGUUUGGAUAAAAGUGAUGAAAUUAAUAAUAAGCUACUGAGGAAUUAGGUAUACGAAGAGUUUUGUUUUAAAAAGAAGUAUUUUAGGGAUAUAAUAGUAAAUAUUUUGGUCAAAUCUAAAGUACUUAUAAGCUAAAAUUUGAUAAGUUGGGAGAGACCAACUUAUGAAUUUUGACUUAUUUUUAACUUAUAAGCACUUUUAAUUUUACUAGACGCGUGAACAAUCUAAAAAAGUACUUAUAAGCUUGUUUGACCAGCUUAUAAGCUUAGCCAAACAUCUUCUAUAUCGAAAUAAUUCACUUAAUUCUUUGAAUAAAACAACAGACUUAUAUUUAUUGGUUAACGAUGUAACUAAGCCCCGAUUUUUAUAGUCAAUGAUAAGUUUUAGUACUUGUGUUUUAUUAACUUCCUUAACUAUGAUAACGAAGUUUUAUCUAACUUUAUUUUUGUUUUAAAGACCAAUUUUGUGAUAAUUCUCCAAGUCAUUGCUUCAAUUAAAGAUGUACAAACCAAAUCGGAAAAUCGUAUUGAAAUGAAAAGUUAAACCAAAUUGAUUAAAAAAUUCGACUAUGUUUGAUUUGGAUUGACUAAAAAAUCCGACCAAACCGACAUAUAAAUAUAUAAUUUUUAUAUAUACUUUUAAGACGUUAUAUAGAAUCUUCUUUACGAAAAUUCUAAAAAUAUUUGGAAUUCUCUAUGGGAUGUAAUAUUUAAUAAACUAUGAAGUACAUCAUUUUUAUUAAUCUUAAAUAAUGGUUUAUAUGAUCACUUUCAUAUUAAAUGUAACUGGAAUGCGUCAAUCUCUUUAUUCUUCCAGGUUUAUAUGUCAAGAUUCAUUAAAUUCUUAUAUCUUUUUUGAAUUUGAAGUAGUAUUUCAAUAAUCUAAAAUUAAAUAGAAUAUAUCAUUAAUUAGGUAUUAUAUUGAUUUUUAUAUUUAAUUAUUAAAAUUGUUUAACCUUGAAAGUAUAAAGUAAUAUCGAAAAAAUAUUUAUGAUACAAAAAAAUCCGAAAAAACCGAUAAAAUCGAACCAAUUCAAAUAUAUUUAAUUUAAUUUAAUUUUAAUAAAAAUCGAACCAACCAUAUAUAUAUAUACACCUAGCUUUAAUUAUGGACUUUGAUUUUAGUCUUUGUUCAACUUAUUAUUUUGUGGACCCCAAUGUUGAAAAUGAAAGAUUAGUUGUAUUCCUUUACUUUUUCCAAGUUUCUAAUAAUGUUUUUCGAGACUUCUAAUUAUAGUCUCAUGAGAUGUUGGACAAGGAAAAAAGGCAAACUUUGAUUUUACAUGAUACUCUAUAAUUUUCUUGUUUAUUGAUACAUUUAUAGUUUCAAAAAAAAUAAAUUAAUCUUAAACUUUGGUUUUACACUUGAUAAUUUGAAAUAUCGUGUGUUGUAAUGAUAUAUGUCGAAUCAAUUUUUCUUUUUAAACUUCAUUAUCGUCAACACAUCGGCAUAUGAAACGAAACUGAGGAUGCAAUAGUCUUCUCCAUCUUGUUAUUGUACAUAUUGGACUUCCACUAAAGGUUGGUGCGAUGGAUAUGAGUCCUUUCGCUCUUGAUCAAAGGUUUUAUAAUCGCUUAAGCUAAGCUGCAAAAAUCAGGUUAUUUUGAUAAGUGUUUUUUAAAAAAAAUACAUUUGGUGAGAAAAUUUUGUGUUUGUCUAAUUAAUUUGAAAAGUAAUUAUAAGCAGCAAUUAGUAUUUUAUCAAGCUUUAAAAACUACUUCUAAGUGUAUUUUCUCAAAAGUGCUUUUGGAGAGAAAUAUUUUUUUCUGCUUCUUCAAAAUUACUACUGCUUUUUCUCAAAAGCAUUUUUUGAAUUUCCGAACUUUGGCCAAAGACCUUAAAUUUAGAAAAAAGUAUUUUUGAUAGAAAAAAUUACUUUUACCUUAAAAUAAACUUGGCCAAACAAUGGUUAGGAAUAGAAAAAUCUUGAUAAGAACCAUUUUCGCCUAAUGAGCUUAUACCGCAAAGCUGAGUUAGUCAAAAUCUCAAAGCAGAUAAUAGACAUCGAAUAAAAACAAAAAAAAACUUGUCGAAGUUUUGCUAACAAUUUUACUGUCAUGAUCGAAAUUUUUAUAGCAACACCAGGUGGGAAUAAUGACAACAAUGGAGUAAACAAGAUUGCAUGGACUGGAAUCUCAAGUUUAUUUGUUCUUUCUGCUUCUUUGAUUCUUGCUUAGAAGUAAUGGUUGUGUUCAAAUUUUAGGGAAAUAUGAUGAAUUAUUCCCUUACCUGUUUUUGUUUUUGUUUUUCCUUUCCUUCACUAAGCUGAGGGUCGAUUGGAAGCAGCCUCUCUGCCCUUUUGGAUAAGAAUAAGGCACGUCUACAUAUUACCCUUCCAGACUCCACUUUGUGAGACUAUACUGGGUAAUUGUUGUUGUUGUAUUCUCUUACCUAAAGUACUAGUGAGAAGGCUGAUUACAUGUUAGAGGCUGUGUGUACUAUUGCUUGUUUCACUCAUUAUUUAUAGUGUGAGUAGUGUUACCUUCUUGGUGUAUGGAUUUGGUUGAAAGUUUUGAAUAUAUAAUAUUUGCUCGCAAGCUGAAUUUGUUCUCAAAUAUUUGAAGUUAUGAAAAAAGCAAAAAGUAUAAUAUACUGUGAAUGAGAUACGGAAUAUGUUGAGUUGUAUCACAUCGGAGGGAUUUGAGGUCGCCCAUCCCAAUUAUUGUUACCGAUAUUUGUCCCACAUCGGAAGGAUUUGAGGUCCUUGGUCUCC